Molecule: long non-coding RNA, 2726 nt
Organism: Bubalus bubalis (water buffalo)
Lineage: Eukaryota; Metazoa; Chordata; Mammalia; Artiodactyla; Bovidae
Exons: 2
Source: RefSeq, a predicted model, not a curated record
GGAUCUCCUUGCAGUCCAAGGGACUCUCAAGAGUCUUCUCACCACAGUUCAAAAGCAUCAAUUCUUUGGCGCUCAGCUUUCUUCACAGUCCAACUCUCACAUCCAUACAUGACCACUGGAAAUGUGGCCUAUUUUCAUGAUAAAGACCCAUUGCAAGAGACUUGAAAAAAAAAACAAAAACAGAUUUAUUUUAAAGAUCGUGCGUUUUAGCAUCUUCAUGAAAAGAAGUGUUGCUGCAUGACCUCUAGAAAAAAAUCAAACUAUAAUAAUAACUUGAAAAAUAUUUUAUUAACCAAAAUUGUCCAAGAAAAAUUAUCUUUUGAUUAACCCAAAGCAUCCAAGCUGAAUACAAUCCAGGGUUUGGGAUGUGUGUCUCCUUCACUAGAGGAGAGUCAGGCUUCUGUCUUGAAAUGUAGAGUAAUAGCUCAUACUGCUGGCACAGGCCUCCUGAAGGUACAUUUCCCACCCUCACAAUCUUGGUGUUUUCAGUGUCUUUAUUUUCUGGAACAUACUUGAGAUGGUAAUUCUUUCACAUACCGUAAGUGUAGCUAGACAGAGACAAGCUCCUUCUUGUAGUUAUUACUAUUUACUGAGCAUGAACCAUAUGUCAGCUAUAUUAUUACUAGCUAACAUGUAUUCAGGCUUCCCUGCUGGCUCAGUGGUAAAGAAUUUGUCUACAGAGCAGAUGUGGGUUCGAUCCCCAGGUUGGGAAGAUCCUCUAGAGGAGGAGAUGGCAACCCACUCCAGUAUUCUUGCCUGGGAAACCCCAUGGACAGAGGAGCCUGGUGGGCUUCAGUCCAUGGUGUGGCAAAAGUCGGACACUACUUAGUGACCAAACAGCAACAUUUAUUCAGUACUUGGCAUAUAUUGGGCAUUAUUUUAAACUAUAUAUAUAUUGUAAUUAUUUGAUCUUGGAAAUAUCUUACUGCAUUUGACACCAGCAUAACUUCAUUUUACAAAUGAGGAAAGUGAGGCACAAGUUAUCUUGAUUGAGAACAUAGAAAUUGGCAGAGUAGAACUGGAACUCAGGCGUCUGACUUCAGACCUUGUUCUUUAACUUCCGUGCUGUACUGACCUGAGUACACAUGAGUGCAUACUUAUGAGGCCUGUGGGCCACAUUCUCUGGAGGACAAAUUCUUUUUGAGAAGAAUAACAGUUUAUAAAGCUACAAGUUGUGUGUGUCUGUCUAGAAACCCAUGCCAUAUUAAAUGAUCAUGGAGAAGUUUAGACGUUCAACAUCAAAGAACCAAGGUUUCUAUUGAAUAUGGUGACCUUUGUUUCACCUUUAAAGGUGAACAUAUUUUGUAAAAACUGAUAUUCAAAAAGAUCAUGCUUAGGAAUAUUGAGAAAGAAUUUAAUAUAAUUGUAAAAGGUCUUAUUACUUCACUAGGAAUUCAUAUUUUGCAAAGAGAUUACCAGAAAUAAUGUAUUAAGAAUCAGCCUUACUCAGAAAUUUGGUAUUACAGAGUUUGUAAGGAACACCUACUUAGGUAUAAGUAGACCACUUAUAAAUCUCUAUAUAAAAAGAGAUUUCUAAAAAAAAUAAAAAUUAAAAGAGAUUUCUCUUAACAGGAGGUAUUGGGGGUUUAAAAGUAUUUGUAGCCACUUUCAUUUAAAUAUAUCUAUGUGCCAUUAUUUACAUCAGUUAACAAGUGAAUGAGCCUUUUAAAUGAGAGGUUUUAAUUCUUAAUGCUCAUGGUGAGUUUUAAAAAGUUCAUUAAAGCUGAAGGAACAUUCAUUGGGCAACAGUUACCAGGCCUUUUGCUAGAUGCCAAGGCUUUAAAAACAGUUUAGGAAUAAUUAUUACUUUUAAGGUCUGCUUAACUGUGAGCUGCAGACCAGAAGACUUCUUUAUUCUUUUGAGUAAAAAGGUUAGGGCGAUACCGCUAGACAGGUAUUUGGCUUUGAGGGUCAAAUAGGAGUUUUCCAGGCAGACAAAAUAGAGUGAAGGGGGUGAAUGGUCUCAGGCCGAGGAAAAGUCAGGUACAGGGACACUGAGAGAAGCAGCAGCGUGACAUGUUCAGCAGGCCUUAAAUAGAGAAUCAGUUACAGUGUAAAGACCACAGGCUUAGGCACAAGUUUUAAAAACUAGUCCUGGUUUUACCAACUUUAAAAAGACAAACUCAGAUACUUUGGUUUCUGCUUUGAGGAUUAAAAAUAAUGCAUGUAAAUUGUUCAGUACAGAACAAUUUAAUGACAUAGGGUUUUGCACCGAUAGUAUCAAUUAUUUUUUCAUUUGUCUUUUGAUUUAUUGUUUUGGACAAUAAAUUUGCAUGGUUCAUAACCCCAGAAAGUAGAAAAAGCUCCCAUCUUUGUGCCUUGUCAAGUUCCUCCUUUUCAACCCCCACAGGAAGCCACUGUUCUUCAUUUCUUAUGUAUCCUUCCAUUGUCCCUUCAAGUUGCAGGGAAAUGUGAAUACCGUUUCAGGACUUGCAGCUUUUACACAAAAGGUAGUGUAUUACACAUGUUGUGUAGUACUGUCCUCUUUGUUUUCACUUAGCCAUACAUCUUAAUGGUCUUUCAUAUCAAUUUAUAGGGAGUUUCCUCGCCCUUUUUAAAAAGUGCUGCUAUAUUUUGAUACAGCUUGACUCAAGAAAUGGCACUAACAGUAUAGAGUUCCCACGUGCUCUUUACCCAGCUUCCCCUAUGAUGUUCUUAUAUAACGGUGGUUCAUCGUCAAAACCUGGAAACUGACGUUGGUACAAUGCUGUUAACUCAGAUAGUGA